RNAcentral lists this ribosomal RNA (349 nucleotides) under Cylindrospermopsis raciborskii C07. RNAcentral's name for it is "bacterial SSU rRNA". It matches the Rfam family "Bacterial small subunit ribosomal RNA", at positions 824 to 1173 of the family's 1533-position model. The record is from RNAcentral. Lineage: Bacteria; Bacillati; Cyanobacteriota; Cyanophyceae; Nostocales; Aphanizomenonaceae.
GGCUUGUAUCGACCCGAGCCGUGCCGGAGCUAACGCGUUAAGUAUCCCGCCUGGGGAGUACGCACGCAAGUGUGAAACUCAAAGGAAUUGACGGGGGCCCGCACAAGCGGUGGAGUAUGUGGUUUAAUUCGAUGCAACGCGAAGAACCUUACCAAGACUUGACAUCCUGCGAAUUCCGGUGAAAGCUGGGAGUGCCUUAGGGAGCGCAGAGACAGGUGGUGCAUGGCUGUCGUCAGCUCGUGUCGUGAGAUGUUGGGUUAAGUCCCGCAACGAGCGCAACCCUCGUUUUUAGUUGCCAGCAUUAAGUUGGGCACUCUAGAGAGACUGCCGGUGACAAACCGGAGGAAGG